UUUUUUUUUUUUUUUUUUCAUAAUAAGAAAGGGAAAUAACAAUGAAAGGGAAGGUAACAUACUUGAAAAAUGGAAAUAGGAAGAAUAUUGUUUCCCCCCCAUACUUAAACUAAACAUUGUCCUCAAUGUUUUAAGGGAAAGAAAUACAAAAUGGAAAUGCAAAGAAAAUAACAACUAAGGCUGCCUUCCGCCUCUGGUUCUUGGACCUGGUGAUCUUUGACGUAUGUCU
Molecule: long non-coding RNA, 229 nt
Filed under: Lathyrus oleraceus (garden pea)
Lineage: Eukaryota; Viridiplantae; Streptophyta; Magnoliopsida; Fabales; Fabaceae
Description: Pisum sativum (pea) long non-coding RNA (PSAT_LNC009886)
Source: RNAcentral